GAGGAAUAUUGGUCAAUGGACGGAAGUCUGAACCAGCCAAGUAGCGUGCAGGAUGACGGCCCUAUGGGUUGUAAACUGCUUUUGUAUGGGGAUAAAGUUAGGGACGUGUCCCUAUUUGCAGGUACCAUACGAAUAAGGACCGGCUAAUUCCGUGCCAGCAGCCGCGGUAAUACGGAAGGUCCAGGCGUUAUCCGGAUUUAUUGGGUUUAAAGGGAGCGUAGGCUGGAGAUUAAGUGUGUUGUGAAAUGUAGACGCUCAACGUCUGAAUUGCAGCGCAUACUGGUUUCCUUGAGUACGCACAACGUUGGCGGAAUUCGUCGUGUAGCGGUGAAAUGCUUAGAUAUGACGAAGAACUCCGAUUGCGAAGGCAGCUGACGGGAGCGCAACUGACGCUUAAGCUCGAAGGUGCGGGUAUCAAACAGGAUUAGAUACCCUGGUAGUCCGCACAGUAAACGAUGGAUGUCCGCUGUUGGUACCUGGUAUCAGCGGCUAAGCGAAAGCAUUAAGCAUCCCACCUGGGGAGUACGCCGGCAACGGUG
Molecule: ribosomal RNA, 539 nt
Filed under: uncultured bacterium
Lineage: Bacteria
Description: bacterial SSU rRNA
Rfam family: Bacterial small subunit ribosomal RNA
Source: RNAcentral